GAGAGAGGUGACAUAAGGAGAGAGAAAGCUACAAAGUGCAGUGGAAGAAAACUUGCAUUCUGAUUGAGUGCUGAGACCUG
This is a long non-coding RNA of Psammomys obesus (fat sand rat), 80 nucleotides long. RefSeq lists it as uncharacterized. Lineage: Eukaryota; Metazoa; Chordata; Mammalia; Rodentia; Muridae. The record is from RefSeq and is a predicted model, not a curated record. The transcript is spliced from 3 exons.